Long non-coding RNA from Podarcis raffonei (Aeolian wall lizard), 268 nucleotides. RefSeq lists it as uncharacterized. The record is from RefSeq and is a predicted model, not a curated record. Lineage: Eukaryota; Metazoa; Chordata; Lepidosauria; Squamata; Lacertidae. The transcript has 3 exons.
UUUCAGCAGGAACAGGACUGGCAGGGGAAGGGUUCAGCAACCCACUUCCAAUGAAAAUUACUCCACUCCAGAAAGCCCCUUUUAAGGGGAGUUUAAUCCCUUAAAGGCUUCCAGUUCCUCAGAUAUCAUCCUGGCAGAGAGUGCCGUAACUUGUUGUAACUGCGCUUUGGGAAAACGCCCCUUUCUAGACAGUGGUGCAAGAUUGUUGUGAUGAUAACACUGGGAAGAUCUGAACCAUGCACAUCACCUUCGGCAUUGUGGAUGAAAG